Acanthosepion pharaonis is the source of this 111-nucleotide non-coding RNA. Lineage: Eukaryota; Metazoa; Mollusca; Cephalopoda; Sepiida; Sepiidae. The record is from the annotation of a GenBank genome assembly.
CAGCCACAUCAGCCACUGAAACAUCAAUUCCCAUAUGAUCACUAGUUAAGCAAUGUCAACCCUGGUUAGUACUUAGAUGGGUGACCACUUGAGAAUAUCAGGUGCUGUAAG